RNAcentral lists this ribosomal RNA (746 nucleotides) under Salmonella enterica subsp. arizonae serovar 62:z36:- str. 5335/86. Its description in RNAcentral is "bacterial LSU rRNA". It matches the Rfam family "Bacterial large subunit ribosomal RNA", at positions 2203 to 2925 of the family's 2925-position model. Lineage: Bacteria; Pseudomonadati; Pseudomonadota; Gammaproteobacteria; Enterobacterales; Enterobacteriaceae. The record is from RNAcentral.
CCCUUUAAUGGCUGGUGUUCUAACGUAGACCCGUGAACCGGGUUGCGGACAGUGUCUGGUGGGUAGUUUGACUGGGGCGGUCUCCUCCUAAAGCGUAACGGAGGAGCACGAAGGUUGGCUAAUCCUGGUCGGACAUCAGGAGGUUAGUGCAAUGGCAUAAGCCAGCUUGACUGCGAGCGUGACGGCGCGAGCAGGUGCGAAAGCAGGUCAUAGUGAUCCGGUGGUUCUGAAUGGAAGGGCCAUCGCUCAACGGAUAAAAGGUACUCCGGGGAUAACAGGCUGAUACCGCCCAAGAGUUCAUAUCGACGGCGGUGUUUGGCACCUCGAUGUCGGCUCAUCACAUCCUGGGGCUGAAGUAGGUCCCAAGGGUAUGGCUGUUCGCCAUUUAAAGUGGUACGCGAGCUGGGUUUAGAACGUCGUGAGACAGUUCGGUCCCUAUCUGCCGUGGGCGCUGGAGAACUGAGGGGGGCUGCUCCUAGUACGAGAGGACCGGAGUGGACGCAUCACUGGUGUUCGGGUUGUCAUGCCAAUGGCACUGCCCGGUAGCUAAAUGCGGAAGAGAUAAGUGCUGAAAGCAUCUAAGCACGAAACUUGCCCCGAGAUGAGUUCUCCCUGAGACUACAAGUCUCCUGAAGGAACGUUGAAGACGACGACGUUGAUAGGCCGGGUGUGUAAGCGCAGCGAUGCGUUGAGCUAACCGGUACUAAUGAACCGUGAGGCUUAACCUUACAACGCCGAAGGUGUUU